GAUGAACGCUGGCGGCGUGCCUAAUACAUGCAAGUCGAGCGAACGGACGAGAAGCUUGCUUCUCUGAUGUUAGCGGCGGACGGGUGAGUAACACGUGGAUAACCUACCUAUAAGACUGGGAUAACUUCGGGAAACCUGAUCUAAUACCGGAUAAUAUUUUGAACCGCAUGGUUCAAAAGUGAAAGACGGUCUUGCUGUCACUUGUAGAUGGAUCCGCGCUGCAUUAGCUAGUUGGUAAGGUAACGGCUUACCAAGGCAGCGAUGCAUAGCCGACCUGAGAGGGUGAUCGGCCACACUGGAACUGAGACACGGUCCAGACUCCUACGGGAGGCAGCAGUAGGGAAUCUUCCGCAAAGGGCGAAAGCCUGACGGAGCAACGCCGCGUGAGUGAUGAAGGUCUUCGGAUCGUAAAACUCUGUUAUUAGGGAAGAACAUAUGUGUAAGUAACUGUGCACAUCUUGACGGUACCUAAUCAGAAAGCCACGGCUAACUACGUG
This 497-nucleotide ribosomal RNA is filed under the name uncultured bacterium. RNAcentral's name for it is "partial 16S ribosomal RNA". It matches the Rfam family "Bacterial small subunit ribosomal RNA", at positions 28 to 507 of the family's 1533-position model. The record is from RNAcentral.